RNAcentral lists this ribosomal RNA (660 nucleotides) under Klebsiella terrigena. RNAcentral's name for it is "bacterial SSU rRNA". It matches the Rfam family "Bacterial small subunit ribosomal RNA", at positions 50 to 701 of the family's 1533-position model. Lineage: Bacteria; Pseudomonadati; Pseudomonadota; Gammaproteobacteria; Enterobacterales; Enterobacteriaceae. The record is from RNAcentral.
AACACAUGCAAGUCGAACGGUAGCACAGAGAGCUUGCUCUCGGGUGACGAGUGGCGGACGGGUGAGUAAUGUCUGGGAAACUGCCUGAUGGAGGGGGAUAACUACUGGAAACGGUAGCUAAUACCGCAUAACGUCGCAAGACCAAAGUGGGGGACCUUCGGGCCUCAUGCCAUCAGAUGUGCCCAGAUGGGAUUAGCUUGUAGGUGAGGUAACGGCUCACCUAGGCGACGAUCCCUAGCUGGUCUGAGAGGAUGACCAGCCACACUGGAACUGAGACACGGUCCAGACUCCUACGGGAGGCAGCAGUGGGGAAUAUUGCACAAUGGGCGCAAGCCUGAUGCAGCCAUGCCGCGUGUAUGAAGAAGGCCUUCGGGUUGUAAAGUACUUUCAGCGAGGAGGAAGGCGAUAAGGUUAAUAACCUUGUCGAUUGACGUUACUCGCAGAAGAAGCACCGGCUAACUCCGUGCCAGCAGCCGCGGUAAUACGGAGGGUGCAAGCGUUAAUCGGAAUUACUGGGCGUAAAGCGCACGCAGGCGGUCUGUCAAGUCGGAUGUGAAAUCCCCGGGCUCAACCUGGGAACUGCAUCCGAAACUGGCAGGCUAGAGUCUUGUAGAGGGGGGUAGAAUUCCAGGUGUAGCGGUGAAAUGCGUAGAGAUCUGG